Lolium rigidum is the source of this 1903-nucleotide long non-coding RNA. RefSeq lists it as uncharacterized. The transcript is spliced from 4 exons. NCBI's taxonomy places the organism in Eukaryota, Viridiplantae, Streptophyta, Magnoliopsida, Poales, Poaceae. The record is from RefSeq and is a predicted model, not a curated record.
UUCCUCGCACUUGUCAUCGCUGCAACGACGGAGGGGCCGCGCAGGAGAUCACCGUGAUACAGCUGCAACUCCGGCCUGCGACAAGAUCGAUCAGUUCUCUAAGCAAACAUCAAUCAGAUAUCAGCUGCCUCCUCAACAACACUCCACUAUGGUGCUCCCAGACCUCAACAGCACCCCACUUGACCUCAACAACACUCCACUUGACGAAGUUGAUGUCUACAUGUCUGAUGUACCUCAAGUAGAGGAGGAGAUGUUGGAUCAACAUGAAGGAAUUACGUAUGACGUUCUUCUGAUUGCUUUAGCCGAUUGUCCGGAACAUGCUCUAUUGGUAAUAUCCCCCUUCCUUGUCCUGAUUGACAUCUAAUUGGUCUGUGAGGGAUUAGGAAUUGGAUUCGUGGUGCUUAAAUAGGAGACUCACGACUUGACUUUAUAUACUCUGGGAUCAUAAAUGGUUUAUUUGACGGGAUUGUUCAAUUUCUGUGCGAGAAGCAUCAAAUCAGAAAUUAUCAUCGAAGUUAUAAAGUUAUGUGAUGGUUUGUGCUUUGAACUGUCAUCUAAAUCAUGGUUCCAUUAUGUGAUCAUUGCUAAGAAAUGCCACACAACUGUGCAUUCACGGUCGGUGUUCUUCGAGUCCCUUGACCUAGAUCAGGCCUUCGAGUCCAUCGGCGCCAACGUUGCCGAGUGGUGGACGCCCAUGUUCAACUGCCGCGUUGACGCUAUGCACCGCUCCACCUCCUUACUCGCCGCAGGGGAGCUCUGCGAGGUCCAAAUGAAUAUGGAGUCGCUUCGCUCCGGUCCUUCCCACAACAUCUUACUCCUGGACAACUUCGUCCAUGGCCAGUCCGGUGCCGACAACAACUGGGCCAAGGGACACUAUGCCGAGUACGCCAAGCUCAUCGACUCUGUCCUCGACAUGGUAUUAUGAAAGCGCAAGGAGACCAAGAACUCGGACUGCCUCCAAGCACGAACAGGGAGGGUCCAUCGUCAGCGUUGGCCGUGCGGCGGCAGAAAGUACAAGGCAAGGUCGCUUGAAGAGAGUGGAGGAAGAGAACGAGGAUGCGGAAUACUCUCUAGAAAAUGGCUGACACCUGAUAGUGAGGGGACAUCCAACCUCUUGUAUGUGACAAUGGCACUGGAAUGGUCAAGGUUAGAAAUCUUUCUCGCAACUGUUUCAUAAUUGUUUCCUGCAUUUGUUAAGAUAUUAUGUAGGCUGGUUUCACUGCUGAAAACCUCAGGCAAAUUACAUUGGGAGGCUGCUCACCGCAGGUAUCUUAUUACUUCAUGUUUUACUUUUUAUGCAUUACUUUGUGAGCAAUUAUGAUAAUGUAGGUGAAUUUUUAGAAAAGAAAAAACAGCGAGGAAGCAGAAAAUGGGUCAUUGUUGUUGAUUUGCCUGGGUUACAGCUUAUGGCAUCAGAUUUUUUCGACCAUGGACCAUACUGGUUACUCAUUGUUUGUUUUCAGGUCAAUCUCUCUCCCCCAAACUUCCAGCUAAAAUAAUGUUCUUCGUGUGCCGGUCAACAUUAGAAGAUGUUGAUUUCGGCAACACUUUUUCAUCACUUGCUUCAUUUGUUUAGAAUACCAAUUUGCUUCUUGUUACUGUACUGAUGUGAUCAGUAUUUUUGCCACGUUUUUACUGCAUCCUAGAAUCCUCAUAAUAAAACCAAGAGAUUUAGAUCUCAUUGUGCUACUUCUUAACCUAUACUCCCUCCGUCCCUUUUUAAUUAACUUGGGGGAGAAAAACGUUUCACAAAUAUUAUUUUACAGUCCAGUCCUGCAUAUUUCAAAACAUAACAAAAAAAGACCCAGAUCUGAUCGGGUCAUUCCCGGAUCCAAUCUCCGUCCCGCUCGGAAUCGAUCGAUCGAUCGGUCAGCUGGAUCGAUCGCUGAUCGGGUCAUUCCCG